Molecule: ribosomal RNA, 365 nt
Filed under: Tunicotheres moseri
Lineage: Eukaryota; Metazoa; Arthropoda; Malacostraca; Decapoda; Pinnotheridae
Description: partial 12S ribosomal RNA
Source: RNAcentral
UAUUAUUCUUAGAUAAACUUAACCCCUAAAUUAGUAGUAGAUAUUUGCUUAAAAAUUAAAAGAUUUGGCGGUAAUUUAAUCUUUCCAGAGGAACUUGUUUUUUAAUCGAUACACCUCGAAAUAUCUUUCUUAUUUGAAGUAAAGUUUGUAUACCGUCAUUAUCAGGUAAUUUUUAGAAAAGUAAAUUGCUAAGAGUAAAAUAUUAAUAAAAUUAGAUCAUGGUGCAGCUUAUGAAUAAGUUAAAAUGAGUUACAAUAAAUUUUUUUAAUACGGAUAAAUAAAAAAAUUUUUAUUUAGAAGGGGGAUUUGGUUGUAUUUGAGGUUUAAUAUGCCUUAAAGAUGAGAGCUCUAAAUUAUGUACAUAU